CAGUCUGUGGUCUCCUGUUUGCAACAGCAGAACACAGACUGAGACACACACAGCAUCCUUUUUAGGGCUGCGUAAUGUUCCACUGACCCCAUCUCUUUGGUCCUAGACCUUAAAUUCUGCUGGAUUUCCAGUGUUUGGGCACUAGGACUUUAGGCUUUGUUGUGUGAGAUUUUUCCUAAGGAAAAACCUUUCCAGGCAUGUGAACUGUGUUGACCUCCCAAGUCUCAUGAGUCUUCUCUCUCCCUCCUGGAAGGAAUGUUUCAUCUGGAAGGAAACCACUAAUACAACAGGGUCCCUUCCCUAAGAGGAAGAACGUAAGAGAAACCAAGGAGACCUAAUAGCUUUAAUUAAUUAAGGCAUUGAUCAAGAACUAAUAAGGUGGCUGCAACCUUGUGGAAGACUCUGGUUGACUGAUGGUGCUAAGCUGACAGAGCUGUAGCUAGCCCAGUCAUCGAUGCCAGGAGAGAUCUGAGAAGGAUGACGGGCAAAUUUUCAUCAAAGUCCUUUCCUGUGGUUUCUUCCCAGUAGUUUAGAGCAUCGCAUAAGUAUAAUAUUUUAAACAAGAAUAGAAACGUAUAUAGGCAUAUAUUAUAAUAAAAAUUAUAUUUGUAUUAAUAUAGAAAAACCUGUAUCAAUGGGAAACAUUUGAGACUAGCAGCAGCUUUUUUUAUCCUAAUCAAUAAUAAUUUGUAAUCAAUUUUCUUAAAUGAUGACAAGUAUUUGUAACACAUUAAACUCAAAUUACCAAAAUCCAUGAAUUUUUUUCCUGUGGAAGUAAAAGCAUACUUUUUUCCAAAUAUAAUGUAUCUUUGAUUUUUUUUUAAGAUUUAUUUAUUUAUCAUGUAUACAGUGUUCUGUCUGCAUGUAUGCCUUCAGGCAGAAGAGGGCAUCAGAUCCCACUAUAGAUGGUUGUGAGCCACCAUGUGGUCGCUGGGAAUUGAACUCAGGAUCUCUGGAAGAGCAACCAGUGCUCUUAACUUCUGAGCCAUCUCUCCAGUCCCGUAUCUUUGAUUUUUAUUUUAAAGUCAAAGCUUUUCAAAGUAUGCAGGCUGGUAAUUUAACAUUUUUUUUUAAAGUAGUAUCAGGACAGAGAAGAGUUAAGGAGGGAAGCUGAUGGCCAGCAGACGAGAUCUUGACUUUAUCAUAGUAAAGAAAAAUUUGGCUUAGGAAGGAAGGGAGGGGGAUUUUGGCCCAGAGUGUGUCCUUGGCUGCCAGUGUUCCUGAAAAAAAAAAAAAAAUUGUUAGCUCCUCUGACUAUAAUAAUUAACAAUUAAUCCCAGAUUCUCUGUUCGGUGUUCCUGACGUUUGUCAAUUGUAGGCAGUCAGCUCCCAUCUCUGCACCAAGAGCACGUACCCCCACCCUCUGUGAGAGCCGCUGGCUGGCUGCAGACCUCUCCUGCAGACCGAGACCAGCCCCACCUGUCGGAAAGCAAAAUAGCUCCGGAGGGAGGUGGCCCUUGCUGUGCCUCUCUCUCCUCUUCCAGGAAAAUGAGGGAGAUUAGGAGACAGAAACAAGUAACGCUGCCAUAGACAUAAAUACUGGCCUCAUGCGGGCUUAGCCAGCCCCAUGUAACAGAUGGCCUCUCUUGCUGUAAGCAAGCCCCACCUGGCAGGAGCUACCUGCUUAUCUCAGUUCAGUCAUAUGGAACAGAACAGUAACAUAGUAACAGUCAGAACACAGACAGAGACAAGGACAAGGAGCGCUCCUUUAUCUAUCAGCAGAUCUGAAAAUGAGUCAUCGGACUCUUGGCUUGCGGUCGCGACCCGCUUAGCCUCUCCAGAGAAACCAAAGGAAUCCAGUCCCCCUCAGAUGGGUCUCCUGACCCCUCCCAGGAGCCCUGGGACGUCUUCCAGGACCCAAAUCUGCAAUCCAUCGGUGCGUCCAUCAUAGAUCUUAUGCGAGCUUCACGGACGGAGCUCCCACUGCUACAAAUGGCCGGAAGCAGAAACCAGAAACUGAAAAGACUGGCCGGGCAAAUCUGAUAAUAGGCACAGUAAGACUCAACGGAGGGUGGUUGCGGUGGGAUUGGGGAUCUCGAUGAAAACUCCAAAUGUUGUACCCAGAGUCCCCCAGAGAUCACCAGGAGACCAAAUCCAAUGCAAAAGCCAAGAGUCUUUUUACUAUUUCAAGUUAGCCCGGGCCUCUCUGUCCGUCCGUCUGUCUGACACAGCAGCAGAGCAGGAGAGGC
Molecule: long non-coding RNA, 2189 nt
Organism: Peromyscus californicus insignis
Lineage: Eukaryota; Metazoa; Chordata; Mammalia; Rodentia; Cricetidae
Exons: 3
Source: RefSeq, a predicted model, not a curated record